AUUGAACGCUGGCGGCAGGCCUAACACAUGCAAGUCGAACGAGUGGCGGACGGGUGAGUAAUGUCUGGGAAACUGCCUGAUGGAGGGGGAUAACUACUGGAAACGGUAGCUAAUACCGCAUACCAUCGGAUGUGCCCAGAUGGGAUUAGCUAGUAGGUGGGGUAACGGCUCACCUAGGCGACGAUCCCUAGCUGGUCUGAGGGGAUGACCGGCCACACUGGAACUGGAAAACGGUCCGAACUCCUACGGGAGGCAGAAGUGGGGAAUAUUGCAAAAUGGGCGCAAGCCUGAUGCAGCCAUGCGGCGUGUAGAAAGAAGGCCUUCGGGUUGUAAAGUACUUUCAGCGGGGAGGCGUUACCCGCAGAAGAAGCACCGGCUAACUCCGUGCCAGCAGCCGCGGUAAGAC
This 406-nucleotide ribosomal RNA is filed under the name uncultured bacterium. RNAcentral describes it as "partial 16S ribosomal RNA". It matches the Rfam family "Bacterial small subunit ribosomal RNA", at positions 30 to 526 of the family's 1533-position model. The record is from RNAcentral.